GGGGGGGCCCCGCGCCCGUCCCGCCGCCCCCGCCCGCCUACGGGAGGCAGCAGUGGGGAAUUUUGGACAAUGGGGGAAACCCUGAUCCAGCAAUGCCGCGUGAGUGAAGAAGGCCUUCGGGUUGUAAAGCUCUUUCAGUUGAGAAGAAAAGGUUGUGACUAAUAAUCAUAAUUUAUGACGGUAUCAACAGAAGAAGCACCGGCUACACUG
RNAcentral lists this ribosomal RNA (210 nucleotides) under uncultured Pseudomonadota bacterium. Its description in RNAcentral is "uncultured proteobacterium partial 16S ribosomal RNA". It matches the Rfam family "Bacterial small subunit ribosomal RNA", at positions 315 to 504 of the family's 1533-position model. The record is from RNAcentral. Lineage: Bacteria; Pseudomonadati; Pseudomonadota.